AGUACACAAAUACUGGUUGCCAUGGAAACCAGUAGGUGCCUGCUGCUCCUGAUUCUGUUUUCAGAGCAGAAUGCUAACCACAGGACGUUCCAGCUGUGACUCACUGCAACUGCUGGCAAGCAUGCUGGCUUGGUCCUGCUAAGGAAAUCAUUCCUGACAGACGAGACAGGGAAGCAGUGAAUCAAUGAAUCACUUGUGAAGAGAUAGAUGGCCAUUACUUACAGCGUGUUGCUAUGACAAUGUGGUUAUGUGUGGACACUGGGGCCAUCCCCAAUAUGUGGAGAGCAUAGCCCAGAGCAAACCAUCCUGUGGGGAGAGUAGUACAGCCCGCUUACAAAACCAAUGGUUUACUUUGAGUGUGUACCACAACCGAGAGUUUAAAGCAAAGAAAUGAAAAAUAAAAGGACAGCCAGAGUCUCAAGGGAAGACGUUUCAACUUCCAAACUGUAGAAUCCUGGAAUUGCACAGAGGCAAAGCAGGAAAAUGUCAAUAUCUUACCCAAAUCUGCAGCACUGAAUUUAGCCAUGAAACCAUGAUUUUCAGUAGAAGAACUUUUCACGAAUAUGACAUAAAGAAAAUUGUACACAGAUGUUAUAAACAAAGUGGGCAGAACUUUCAAUUCCAAAGGCAGUGAAGUUGAGAAUAACUACUUGGCUUUGGGGCUGGUGAAUGGUCCACCUGCAGAUUCUUUCUCCUGGAUACACGUUAGGAUAAAAAGGAUCAAGAGCCUGGGUCCCAGAGACAGAUGGGACAGUGUGAGCAGAACUGCCAGUGACCUCAAAACAACAUGUUUACACGAACAAAGAAUAAAUGUAUACUGUUAUAAGCCAUAGAA
Long non-coding RNA from Canis lupus familiaris (dog), 835 nucleotides. RefSeq lists it as uncharacterized. The record is from RefSeq and is a predicted model, not a curated record. The transcript is spliced from 6 exons. Lineage: Eukaryota; Metazoa; Chordata; Mammalia; Carnivora; Canidae.